AUCAGAGGUUGGAAGGAGAAGAAGCUCUCCUUUGGAGGGAGAGAAGUGUUGUUGAAGGCUGUCAUUCAAGCUAUUCCUUCAUAUGCUAUGCUAGUCUUCAAGCUUCCAAAACAAAUUUGCUAUGCGAUAACAACCGCUAUGUCACAGUACUGGUGGGGAGAUGAGGAUGAGAAGAAGCAUAUGCACUGGUUCGCGUGGUGGAAGAUGUGUGUGCCAAAGAGCAAUGGAGGUAUGGGGUUUAGAGAUGUACACUGUUUCAAUCUGGCUCUCCUAGCUAAGCAGUGCUGGAGACUGCUAGCAGAACCAGAUUCUUUAUGUGCCAGAGUAUUGAGGGCAAAGUAUUUCCCGGACGGUGAUUUAUUGAGUUGCUCCCUCAAUAAAGGUAGUUCUUAUACAUGGCAGAGCUUGUGGAGUGGUGUUCAGACUUUCAAAAAAGGUUAUAUAUGGAGAGUGGGAGAUGGCACACAAAUAAGCAUUUGGAGUGAUCCAUGGGUACCCAGCAGCCCAAACAGGAAGGUUAUGACUCCACGAGGUAAUAUCUUACUCACGAAAGUUUCUGAACUUAUGGACGUGGAUAAUGGGUGUUGGGAUGAGCAACUUAUCAGACAUAUAUUCUGGCCCAUUGAUGCAAAUUGUAUUUUGAACAUACCCCUGGCUACGGGGAUGAUGGAGGAUUUUGUUUCAUGGCACUACAACAAAACUGCAAUUUUCUCGGUC
RNAcentral lists this ribosomal RNA (717 nucleotides) under Triticum aestivum (bread wheat). RNAcentral describes it as "partial small subunit ribosomal RNA". Lineage: Eukaryota; Viridiplantae; Streptophyta; Magnoliopsida; Poales; Poaceae. The record is from RNAcentral.